GGCCAUUUACCAGAAGGAAGAGAGAGUUCACCAGCCCUGUAUCCUGCAGGAACUUGAUCCAGGACUUGCAGCCUCCAGAACCACGAGACAAUCCGUGUCUGCUCUUGGAGCCCCUCAGUCUGUGGUGUUCCGUUCCGGCGGCCCUAGCUUACUAAGAGCGGCUACACAUUUCUCCGUUUGCCUCUGGCACCAAGAUGGCUUGGGAGGGCACUGCUCAGAACCCAAGUGUCUUCUGAAAGGAGCAGAUGAAACCCAUCGAGGUACUUCUCAAUUACACUGGAAAGAAGCAGUGAAAUUCUCCAGGUUACUUAUUCAUACUCAAGCCUUUUGUUUUUAAAUAGAAAGAGGCUC
Zalophus californianus (California sea lion) is the source of this 351-nucleotide long non-coding RNA. RefSeq lists it as uncharacterized. The record is from RefSeq and is a predicted model, not a curated record. Lineage: Eukaryota; Metazoa; Chordata; Mammalia; Carnivora; Otariidae. The transcript has 3 exons.